CUUCACUCAGUGGUAGCCAGUAAUGCCCAUGACCCAGGAGAGGCCAGGCCCAGACUCUCUCCCCAGCCGGCAGUCCUGGGCUGUGGCUCUUUCACUUCCUUCUUCAUUUUUCUGACGAGAACAGAUGCCGCCGCAGCUGACAAGCAGCCUGCCGGUGUGACAGGGAAGGCGGAUCCAGCCCUUGUUUGUCUGACUUGAUGAGCGACUACCAUGUGCUGGGCCUCUGCCGGCUACUAGGACACAAGGACGAAGUAGUCACCAGCAUCCUCCAGAAGGACAGUCUGGGGAAUCGGCAGGGACCCUGGCAUGAGAUGCUCUGAUGGAGCAGGACUCCGAGGCCCGGCUGCCUGGUCCCCAUCAGUCUCCACCACUUCCAGCUGUGAAUCGCACAAGGCCCUUAAGCCCCACGGCUGUAAAAUGGGAUGCUAAGGACACCCGCUCGGUUGGGUGUUAGACAGAUUAAACACGUUCGCACGUGGAACUCAUUUGGUUACAGUGCCUGGCACACAGCAAGCUCCUUCUGCCCACAUCCACAUCCUAGAAUAGUGGCUCCUCACCAAAUCCUGGGAGCUCCUCUGCUCCUCUGUCGUCCCUCACACCCCCUCACCUCCAGAAGUGUCAGGGUCUAACCACCAUGCUUCCAGCUGCAAGUCUCUUCUGAUCAUCACAGCAGACACCUGCAUGUACCAUGCACAGUGUGCUCCCCGCUGAACUCACAUGUCCUCUGCCUAAGCCCACAGGGGGAGGGUCUCCAGAGGCCCUGAGACCUGAUCUUGGAAGAGGGUUGGAGUUUGGCUUGGGGUGAAACGGCUCCCUGCCCCAAGCCAGGUAUAUGCACCUCACCAAUCCCUCAGGCCCAGGCAGUAUGUGGCACCCCUGACUGCAGUAAGCUGGCUUCCCAGCUGGACAGUUCUUCCUGGCAGCUGGCCUCAGGCUCUCCAGCUGCAGUGCCAAGGAUCACAUGCUGGCCAAGCAGAGAGGCUGCUGGGUGGUCUGCAGAGGCCGUUUUCCCUGACUCCACCCCUGCCCACGGUCCCAGGGAGCAGGUACCAAGCCAGGAAUCUGCCCUCCUCUCACGUCCUGGAAACUGCUACUCACCUUGCAAGACUCAGAAAACAUUGCUUCCUCCAGGAAGUCCUCCGCGAUGGCCCUGCCAUCUCUUCCAGGAAGCCUUCCCUGAUUCUUCAAGAGUUGGCACCUUCGGCCUGAAUGCUGCGUUCAGAUGCUCCCCGCCCCCAGGAGGGUCAUUACUCCUUCCAUGUCCAGCUCCCCACCUGGCCGGGAGCAUCUUGAGAACAAGCAGAGCCCGAUUCCCCAGGGUCUCCAGCCCGGCACACAGCGAGCGCUCGGAAAAUGUUGGUUGACCCUGUGAUGCUAGGUUGGCUAGAAGGUGGUCAAUGUCUAUUCCCUGAGGCUUCCCCCAGCUUCAUUUAAGGAUGCAGCUCUGCCCUCUGUCUCCUGGCUCAUCUGUAAGGGUCAAGGUGCUUGGUCCAGAGCAGACUGUGUGCAGCUGCCCAGCCCUGGAGGAGCUCCACAGGCGCGUGCCCAGAGCAGGCACAGACCUCUGCUUGUGGCUGGGCUCUCCCUGCUCCUGUUUCCCCCAGGACAGCCACGUCCCCCAGGCCGGAGACCAAUCCCUGAGACCAGCCACGGCGACUCCCCCAUCCCUGCUAUCACCGCCAUCACCAUCACAGAGGCCUCCCUCAGAGGGGGUGGUGCAGAGGGAGGAGGGGGGAAGUGAGGUGGUGGAGGGGGAUAAAGGCCAAAGGAGGCAGAGGGAAGGGAGGGGAGGGGAGAAGAGAAGCGGGUUUGAUCGCCUGUUCCUCUCCGCCUGCAGCCUGAUGCUUCACCAGUUAAUUGCCGGCCAUUCGGGCCCCAGCCCCUCCUCAUUACCAUGAUUAGCAUUGAGCGAGCUGCGCAUUUUACGACUCUCCAAACCAAAAAAAUAAUUAAAGCAAUUACUGUCAUUAACACUCUGCCCUCUUCACCACCUUCGCUGAGAGUGAGCAGCGAACAGGCCCUGGGGCAUCGUGAUUGGACCCCGAGUGCCUUCUCUCCUCAUCUUGCACUCCCCCCCCCCCCCCCCCC
Molecule: long non-coding RNA, 2088 nt
Organism: Equus caballus (horse)
Lineage: Eukaryota; Metazoa; Chordata; Mammalia; Perissodactyla; Equidae
Source: Ensembl